CUCCCUGCACCCUCUUAACCCAACUUCUAUUCUCCCAAUCUCAAAAUUAGGGAAACCAUUCCUCUUUAGAUCUUCUGUCUUCCUUUCAAUCCCAAAUAAUCUAAACUAAUAAGAAGUUUAAUUUGAGAUUGAUGGUGAAUUUUAAUCAGUCAGUCAAGGUCAGUCGAUUUUUUCUUUUCUCUCUCUCGAUCUCUAUACGAAGUUCAGAAAAGUUUAAAGCUAGAGGACUACGCAGUAAUCAAUGUAUGUUGCUAUUUGAUGGUGAAACUGAUGUUGGAUUAAAUUCAAUCGGCUUGUAUUUUUUUUCUGUGAAUUCCAAAGAUAUAUCAUAUGGGUAACUGAUCCAGUUGACAUUAGAUUCUUGCACUUAUAAGGCUCAGCAAUUGAAUAUUAUACCUACUGAGGCCUUUCCAUAUGAGACUUUAGAGCUCUGGUUUUGUUGUCGUUCAGUUAUAUAUGGUUAAAUUGCAGGUAACAAUAACAUUUUGUCUCAUCAGCUGAGAUAUUCAAUAUCUUUGUAGCUUCAUAUUGUGUUGAUUUUUAAGUUCGGUAAUUACUUUUCUCCUGCAUGUCCUUUAUCCACUUAUUAUACACAAUUCGUGUAUCUGAAUUACCUGAAAACUUUGAUGCAUAAUACCAAAUCAAGGGCAGUGGUGCCAAGUUAGAUGGACUGUAAAUCGGUUUCGUACAUGUUGAGUUUGUUUUAGUGGGAUGAACUGCGAAGGUUCGUCAACUAUUUCUGCAUCUUUUUAAUGAAACAGGAAGUUAGUUUGGCACGAAAGUUUGCUCUAUUUUCUCUAGCGCCACGGUAGUUGGUUUACAAGACCACUGUAAGGCGAUGCUUACUGCUAUCAUAGCCUAAUGCCUUUAGGUACUGUUCAGCUUAUAAGUGGACCGUUCAUAUAAGGAUGGGGAGCCUUUUUUUAUCUUGAUGCGGGCCACAACCAAACCUUAAGACUUUAAGGAACUACGACUUUCUUGAUGAAGAUCACCUUAAAACUAAGUUCAUUGUGACAGGUUUUUCUGUAUGCCUACUGUUUCCUCCAUUUAGACCUUAUUAGUCUUGUUUCUUACAUGAUCUCUUCGAUCCAGGCACCCCCAGCACCAAAGAUCCUCAAUUCCAUGAUAAGAGAUUGGUUUCUCAACUAAAUGGAAAACGACCUUUAGAAAUCUUUUGAUUGAGGGAUUUAAUCAUCACCUUUUUCUGUUUCUUUGUCAUGUAAAUCGUUAGGCAUUAAACUAUUUUUUCGGGAUAAUUUCCUGCGAACCACAGGUAUCUGCUGCAUAGGAAAAAAAAGAAGCAGUUUACGAGAGAUCCAUCUGAGAUGCAAUCUGCAAUUUGAUCUCAGGGUCCGAUGCACCAAGGAAAAUCCCAGCGGCAGAGUUUGGAGGAGCUCUUGCGGUAUGAGUAUGCAUGGCAUCUUUAGUAAACAAGACCUGGAUUAAGCACGCAAUAAAAAUGCAGUUGUCCUUUCGAAACUUUGUUGAGGCUUCAUGCCCCUCUAAUCAUUUGAAAAUCGCCCAAACAUCAGUUUUCAUUUCACUCUAUAAGACUAUCGGGGAUGUUUCAAAUCAAGUGUGAUAGCUAUCAACUUGAAACCGUAUAGGAUUGUGAAUUCCAUUACAAAAACCUCACUACUGAAGUUAGAAUCGGAUAGGUUCUCAAAUCUGGUUGCAAACCACUAUAAACUGAAUUCGUGAACGAUCACAGUUUGCAAAACGAACUUUCUUUAUGUUGUUCGCAGAUUGCCACGGUUUACAAACCAAAGUUCCCGUCGCUCACGAGCUGCCACAGUUUCCAAACCCAUCUUGCAAACCACUAUAUUCCUAAUCUUCUUCCAUAUACUCAAAUGAAAUCUAUAUUUAAAAUUUUUUUCUUUUGGUUUAAUUUCACUUUCUCUUUUAACCUUUCAGCCUCAAAUCCCUAGCAAAAGAAAAGAAAGUUUCUUUAAAAAAUUUCCCAAUAUGAAAAACAUGUAUAAUCUUAAGUCCAAUAAUAUAGUAUUAUUUAAUGGCUAAUGUUGGAUGUGUGAUUUCGUUUUCCACACCCGAUUUUAUCAUGGAUUGUUUUGUUAAGUUUUCUUCCUGCAAUUAAUAUAAGUUUCACAUAAAACAAGAAAGUUUGUCGCUUUUGACAUUGCAAUAUAUGGUUGUUUUGUGUUGGUACAAUCCUGAUGCUCAUUUUGCUCAUUUUGCUUCCCCAUCUGUGUUCACUUUAAGCCAGUCUUCAAAGGGUGGUAUCCAUCCAGUUGAGAUAGUGCAAGAUUGUCGGUUGUUGUUGAUGAUGGUUGGUGAUGGUGUGAAAGGUGUUGAGGGUGACAGAUGGUUUCUCGCCCAAACAUAUUUCGUGUGCAUUAGGAGAAUGAUGUGGAAUGUUUGGGCUGGUGUUUGGGUGGUGUUUUUGUAGACUGCUGAGUUUCUGACUAGCCAUAGGUGUCAGGUAGUGAAAUACAAGAUUGUUUUUUGUUCUUUGGGGAGUUGUAGGUCAAGAAGUUGGUGCAGGUUGUGGACUGGUUGGAUUGGGAUUUUGUUAUUUUGGUUUGUUGAUAGGUGACCAAAGAUGAGGCUCAAAACAUCUUGAGCCACAGACAUUGGAAUAACAUGUGGGUUGUUGUUUCAGGUGCACUCUUACAAACUGGGCAUUGGUCGGUGGUGGUGAUAUGCAUUCGGUGGAGGGUUGCGAAGGUGUGUAAUCCUUCCAGGUUGGCUUUCCACAGGAAAAGCCUGAUUUUUGGGGGGUAUUCAGCCUGCCAGAUGGUUUUGAAAUUGUUGGGUGGUGGUUGUUGGGUCUGGUGAUGGGUGUUAUUGGUUUGGUUGGUGAUUGCCUUGUAGCCGGUUUUUGUGGUGUAGUUGCUUAUUGUGGAGUAUGGCCAAAUCAACUUGUUUGGUGAAGGUGUGGGUGGAAGGUAUGUACUUUGGAUGUGAUGUGUAGUGGGUGUUGGAAAGUUGGUGUUGAUUUUGUCAUGUAUCCGGGUAUUGGAGUCAGGAUCGAUGAUGUCUGAGACGAAGUGGAUCGACAUGUCAGGGCAAGGAUCUGGUAGUGGGUGUUGUUGUAUCCAGUUUGCAGUUAUGGGAGUAUCUCUUACAUUACCAAUUUGAUGAAACAUGUGUGACUGAAGGAUUGGAGCUAACUUACACAUGCUUUUCCACAUGUUGUUGGCUAUGUUUGGUGCAGAUAUCAGAGAAAUCAAAAUGUGUUGGUGUCUGACAUAUUUUUUAUUGAGAACUGAUGAGCAAAGCGAAUUCGGCGAUUCAUGUAGCUUCCAAAGUCUUUUUAGUAGGAGUGCCUUGUUAUAAUAUGCACUAUCCCGGAUUCCGAGACCUUCUUCUUCUUUUGUUUUGGUGAUUUUAGUCAAGCCAAUUGGGUGUGAUUUCCUGGUUGCUUAUCGUGAUCCCAAAAAGAUAUUCUGGUAAUCUGGUCCAUCUGCCGAUGAUGUGAGUUGGCAGUAACUGUGUUUGCGUGACGUGGUUGGAUGUUGGAGUGAUGAUUAAGACGAAUCUGUCGGCUUGGUUCACGCAUUUGGUUAUCCAGCCUGCAGAUUUCCUGUUUAACCUGUUCAUUAGCUCAACAAACAUAUGAGACGAGUUCCUGCCAUUUUUGAAUUGUAUACCAAGGUAUUUUGGUGGUGUUUUGGUGGUAGGGAUUGAGAACAACUGUGAGAGCCAAGCAGUGGUUGAUGGGUUGAGGUUGUGAUGAUUGAUUUGGAAAGGUUGAACUUCGAACAAUAUUAUAUAUAAAAAGAGUAAACACAUAUUUUAAGAAUAUCAAGGUGUAUAGACUAAUUUGUAGUAUGUAGCAUGGGUAAACAUCUGAAAAAAAAAAA
Molecule: long non-coding RNA, 3824 nt
Organism: Papaver somniferum (opium poppy)
Lineage: Eukaryota; Viridiplantae; Streptophyta; Magnoliopsida; Ranunculales; Papaveraceae
Exons: 5
Source: RefSeq, a predicted model, not a curated record